This 465-nucleotide ribosomal RNA is filed under the name uncultured bacterium. Its description in RNAcentral is "partial 16S ribosomal RNA". It matches the Rfam family "Bacterial small subunit ribosomal RNA", at positions 28 to 505 of the family's 1533-position model. The record is from RNAcentral.
GACGAACGCUGGCGGCGUGCUUAACACAUGCAAGUCGAACGGAAAGGCCCUGCUUUUGUGGGGUGCUCGAGUGGCGAACGGGUGAGUAACACGUGAGUAACCUGCCCUUGACUUUGGGAUAACUUCAGGAAACUGGGGCUAAUACCGGAUAGGAGCUCCUGCUGCAUGGUGGGGGUUGGAAAGUUUCGGCGGUUGGGGAUGGACUCGCGGCUUAUCAGCUUGUUGGUGGGGUAGUGGCUUACCAAGGCUUUGACGGGUAGCCGGCCUGAGAGGGUGACCGGCCACAUUGGGACUGAGAUACGGCCCAGACUCCUACGGGAGGCAGCAGUGGGGAAUAUUGCACAAUGGGCGGAAGCCUGAUGCAGCAAGCCGCGUGCGGGAUGACGGCCUUCGGGUUGUAAACCGCUUUCGCCUGUGACGAAGCGUGAGUGACGGUAAUGGGUAAAGAAGCACCGGCUAACUACG